GGCCCCAUCGUCUAAUGGCUCAGGACAGCGGAUUUUCGCUCCGCCAAUCGGGGUUCGAAUCCCCGUGGGGUCA
RNAcentral lists this transfer RNA (73 nucleotides) under Chlamydiota bacterium. RNAcentral's name for it is "Chlamydiae bacterium (freshwater metagenome) tRNA-Glu". It matches the Rfam family "tRNA". From Rfam's summary of the family: Transfer RNA (tRNA) molecules are approximately 80 nucleotides in length. Their secondary structure includes four short double-helical elements and three loops (D, anti-codon, and T loops). Further hydrogen bonds mediate the characteristic L-shaped molecular structure. tRNAs have two regions of fundamental functional importance: the anti-codon, which is responsible for specific mRNA codon recognition, and the 3' end, to which the tRNAs corresponding amino acid is attached (by aminoacyl-tRNA synthetases). tRNAs cope with the degeneracy of the genetic code in two manners: having more than one tRNA (with a specific anti-codon) for a particular amino acid; and 'wobble' base-pairing, i.e. permitting non-standard base-pairing at the 3rd anti-codon position. Lineage: Bacteria; Pseudomonadati; Chlamydiota. The record is from RNAcentral.